GGUUCAGCUGACGGACUUUAAGCCUAAAUUUAUAAAACUCAUCCAGAUGAACAAUGAUGACUUGUAAUUUAAAGUCUAAACGAAAAAAACUCUCAUCUCCAGCUCAUUUUACUACAAGAAAUAUGUACAUUCCUAGCUCACGAUGAACGCUAUAAUAGGAAUUUCAUAGCGUUUUCUCCUCUGCUAUGUCAUCGACAGCCAUUAUAGAUACCAUCAUAGGUACCCUC
This 227-nucleotide long non-coding RNA is filed under the name Brassica napus (rape). Its description in RNAcentral is "long non-coding RNA (BNAP_LNC021520)". The record is from RNAcentral. Lineage: Eukaryota; Viridiplantae; Streptophyta; Magnoliopsida; Brassicales; Brassicaceae.